GUCCUGUCUCUCCCUGGCUCUUUCUGCAUCUGAACCUUUUCUCUGAGCUGUUGAGGAGAAAAGGCUGGGUGGGAGUGAGCAGGGGAGAAGACGAC
Molecule: non-coding RNA, 95 nt
Organism: Ornithorhynchus anatinus (platypus)
Lineage: Eukaryota; Metazoa; Chordata; Mammalia; Monotremata; Ornithorhynchidae
Source: RefSeq, marked provisional